CGUGUUGACAUGCCAGAAAUAUCUCUGCUUCACUGCCUGUGCUCUUGGAAGUAUUUUGCUGCUCUCUCACCUCUCCAUGAGAGAGACACAUUCAUCUGUCAGCUUAUCGGAGGAAUUUCCAACAAUCUGUGGCAAUGCUACAAGUCUCAAUCUUGCUAGCUGAAGCCAUGUCCAGACUGACCCCACCAUCCUUUGGAGGUUCAGCCAUCCAGAGGCUCCAGGUUGGCAGUUCAGGUGCCAGCUCCUGUGCACCAAAGAAAGUGAUGAGGAGGUUUCUGUCUGCUGGUGUUUAAUGGAAAAAGGAUUUCUCCUGCUCUGCUGCCUUCAUGAGAGGAGCUCUGCCUUCUCUGGGAUAUUCAAUGGUCCCAAGCAUUUCGCCAUGCAGGGAAGGCAUCUCCUCCCUUUCCACACAAAGUGCUGUGUCUGUCUUUCAUCUGCCCUGAAGAAUCUUCCCCCUGACUCCUGAUUAAAAUAUGGGCUGCUUUACA
This is a long non-coding RNA of Catharus ustulatus (Swainson's thrush), 488 nucleotides long. RefSeq lists it as uncharacterized. Lineage: Eukaryota; Metazoa; Chordata; Aves; Passeriformes; Turdidae. The record is from RefSeq and is a predicted model, not a curated record. The transcript has 2 exons.